UGGCAACACUGCUAGCCAGUAGCCACAUUGCAACAUGGCAGACUCCCAGCAAGUCACUUCUUCUCAGGUGAUACAGCGACAGAAUAUUCCAAGGACCUCUAGAGCCUUCUGACCAACUACCUGCGAUCUCUCCAGAGCACAGAGAAGUGAGUCUGCUGGGCCAUGGAACUCUAGAGCAGCACAUCAAAAUACAUGCCACCCUGUUGUCAGCUGUCAGCAGGCCGUUCCCUGAGGAAGGAUACAAUGGUCAAUGGCCGAAUUUGGGGGAUGACUAAAUGCCAUAAAGCUGUGUCUAAAC
This is a long non-coding RNA of Coregonus clupeaformis (lake whitefish), 298 nucleotides long. RefSeq lists it as uncharacterized. The record is from RefSeq and is a predicted model, not a curated record. Lineage: Eukaryota; Metazoa; Chordata; Actinopteri; Salmoniformes; Salmonidae. The transcript has 3 exons.